CAGUUAUUAGAUGUUGCCAGCGCUUAAUUGCGCGGCGGCAGAUAAUCUUACACACAGUGUUUUUUGUUAUUACAAGAACUAUUGCUUCGGCUUGGCCGACAGGCUGGGCCGGAGACUACUGAAACUUCAAUUUUAUUGAAUUGUUUUUUAACGUUUUGUCAAUUUGUUUGAUUAAAUUCAAAAUAAUCUUCA
RNAcentral lists this unclassified non-coding RNA (192 nucleotides) under uncultured fungus. RNAcentral describes it as "sequence contains ITS1, 5.8S rRNA gene". The record is from RNAcentral. Lineage: Eukaryota; Fungi.